Molecule: long non-coding RNA, 1623 nt
Organism: Vitis riparia (riverbank grape)
Lineage: Eukaryota; Viridiplantae; Streptophyta; Magnoliopsida; Vitales; Vitaceae
Exons: 2
Source: RefSeq, a predicted model, not a curated record
GUAGAAGAAGUAAGGAAACUGAACCACAAUUCGAGACACGAAAAUGAAGAUUUGCCAAAGAAAUUGGGCAACUCCAAACAAAUCAAUGCGAGCUGAUGUAGAGAGCCAGUCUAUCUUCAGCAGCUUAAUGUUCACCUACGCCAUGAGCUGAGAAAUUAACAGGCUGGUGGCUCAACUGCAUGUAAAGGAACUAUUGCAUUCGCUCAGCAGCGGCCCUCACUAUUGGACUUUCUCCAGCACAGCGAAUUUUGGAAAGCCAGAGGACUCUUACAAGCUAAUUCCAUGGAUGUGCAAGCGACUUAUGAAGUCAAUUCCAGGGAGUUGCUGUUUGUUGACGCCUAUCACUUGAGUGGGCCACAUAAAGACACUUUGUUGUCUGCAUCUGCCUUAGAUGUAGAUGAUGACUAAUAUCCUCUAGCUUAUGGGGUGGUUAAUACUGAUAAUGAAGAAAACUGGUUGUGGUUCCUAGAGCAUCUGAAGUAUUUACUGAUGAAUUGUCAUGUGGUUCUAAUUUCAGAUAGGAACCCAAGCUUUCUUUCAGCAACUAACAAAGUAUUUGGCAGUGGUUACAAUGCUCACUGUCUCAGCCGUUUGAAGGAGAGCCUAGACUACUUCAUAAGUAGUAAUCUGGUCUUAAAGAUGGGACAUUUACAUUCUGCUCUUGAUGCCAAGGUCAGGUAUCAGAAAGAAUAUGUUCAGGACAUGGUCUAGUUUGGAAGCACUUAUGAGCAUGCAGAACACGCGAAAUCUAGACCCAGUCCAAUACAAGCUGAACCACAGACGAAACUAGAGAAAAUGUAGGCUGAUAUUGAAAAGUUGAAGGCAAACUUGAUAGAAAAAGAAACUGAAUUGUUGAGUAUUUCAGAGGAAAUGGGAGAUGGACUAAUUCCAGUUUGGGAUUUUGGUGAAUUACACUUGGCACCCCUCAGAAGGUCAAUUCAAAUACUAAUCUGAAAACGACUUAAGUAUACUCCACAUCAGUCUCCUGCCCCAAAGAAGGUUUAUGCAAAGACCUGUUCAACUGAAAUUGUUUGUCUUUAAUAAACCAGAGGUGGCAGGUCCAUUUAUCUGAAGGAAUGUGGUAGUUCAGCGAUGAGAGCAGAUGGAGAACCUAUAGAUUGCUCGAAUGCUCAUGUGAUUGUUCAUAGAUGUACUUCAGAUUCUUUUUCAAGAACUCCUUGAAGACUGUCAAGCUUGCCAAGAAGUAGGAAGAAUUGGAGCAACUCCAAAUCCAUGCACAGAAUGAAUGUCUACAGUUCGCUCAAGCUGAGAUGUUUCCCCAGAACUUGCAGAAUCUGCACCUUCAAUUGCAGAAAGAAGAUAAAAGCUCUACCUUCCGAUCUGGGAUUAAGCUUCAGAUCAAAUUGGUGGAAAAUCUGAGAAUAAAGAUGUUGGGGCUGUUUUGAUAGCUACACAGAAUACUCUCUUACCUGAAAGCUCGGUAAUGGCAUUGAUUCUAAGGCCGGACAAGACAUCCAAACAACGCAAGUACUGGAACUAGUUACAUCACUUGGUAGGGAGACUUGCUCUCUUCUUGGGAGCUCUGAAUAUUGUGUUGGGUUCGAGUGAUGUAUGACAAACACCUAUUUGGGCAAUGGAAGUUUUAGAAACUUUUCACUGUCA